RNAcentral lists this ribosomal RNA (2517 nucleotides) under Pteris ensiformis. RNAcentral describes it as "partial large subunit ribosomal RNA". It matches the Rfam family "Bacterial large subunit ribosomal RNA", at positions 71 to 2613 of the family's 2925-position model. The record is from RNAcentral. Lineage: Eukaryota; Viridiplantae; Streptophyta; Polypodiopsida; Polypodiales; Pteridaceae.
CGAAGGCCUGGGGAGUAUACCGUCUGUGAUCCAUGGGUUUCCAAUCGGGAAACCGUAUCCAAGCUUGCCGAGCAUGCCGUGUGCUGCGGCUCCGCCUCGGAUCUGAGAGACUUAGCGAACUGAAACAUCAUUGUAGCUAAAGGAAAGGAAAUCAACUGAGACUCCGUUAGUAGCAGCGAGCGAAAGCGGAUUAGGCAAAGAAAGGGGAAGGGGCCCCGGACCCCCGCUUUCCCUGGCCCUGUGCGGGGGAGAACUUGCAGUAGGGGGAAGGGUGGGAGCCCGUAGACUAACGUCUACGCUUCGCCCUUCCUCAAGGAAUUCUGAAAAGGUUGGAAGAUCUGGCCAAAGAAGGUGAUAGCCCCGUAGAUCUUUCCUAACAAGUUUGAUUACUAUCGCAAAACGCGAAUACCGUGUUUGAAUAAUGAUCGCUUUUACGUGACUAAGGGGGACCACCCUCGCGGCCUAAGUAUUCCUCAAUGACCGAUAGCGUACCACAAGUACCGUGAGGGAAAAGUGAAAAGACCCCGCCGUAUGCCGGGAGUGCAAUAGAAAACCUGAAAUCCGGUGCAAACCAUCAGUCGGAAGAGCAAAGCUGAGAAAACGGAGGCAAAGCCACUAAUGUUCGAUGGAACGCAUACGCGAAGCUGAGAAAGCGCUGUAGCUUUCGGGUUCGAUAGAACCCUUGAGCGAAGCUUCGCGUUGUCGGCUCUCGCUCGGCGCACUNNNNNNNNNNNNNNNNNNNNNNNNNNNNNNNNNNNNNNNNNNNNNNNNNNNNNNNNNNNNNNNNNNNNNNNNNNNNNNNNNNNNNNNNNNNNNNNNNNNNUUCUAUUGAAGUAGAGCGUAUAACGUUCAUGGCUUGAGGUAGAGCACUCAAUGGGCUAGGGUAGCCCAAAGCUUGACCGACCCCAAGGAAACUCCGAAUACGGGCCAUGGGUUUGUACAGACAGACUUCGGGUGCUAAGAUCCAAAGUCGAAAGGGAAACAGCCCAGAUCGUACGCUAAGGUCCUUAAGCAAUCACUUAGUGGAAAAGGAAGUGAUCGAGCGAUGACAACCAGGGGGUGGGCUUGGAAGCAGCCAUCCUUCAAAGAAAGCGUAAUAGCUCACUGGUCUAGCUUCAUGGCACUGAAAAUGUCUCGGGGCUCAAGUGACUCACCGAAGCGACGAGACCUUGAAAGAAGCUUUUUCAAGUGUCAGUAGCGGAACGUUCUGUCAAUCGAGGAAGGUUGUUGGUGACAACACCUGGAGGUACCAGAAGUGAGAAUGCUGACAUGAGUAACGAGAAAUCAUGUGAAAAACAUGAUCGCCUGCCAGUUCCAGGGUUUCUGCGUUCAGUCAAUCUACGCAGAGUGAAUCGGUCCCUAAGGAACCCCGAAAGGGCAACGUCCGAUGGGUACACGAAAGCGACGAAGUUGCUUUGACUACUGAACCAUGCGUGUUUGUUAAACUCGUGAAUUGGAUGAUUGGGCAGGGGGCUACAAAGUCACUCCGGCUGCAGGGUUUCAACUCCCGGGAAAAAACUUCGUGGAAUUGGGAGGGCGAUUCGAAAUUUGAAAUGCAAAACCAACCGUACCCCAAACUGACACGGGUGAACAAGUAGGAUAUACUAAGGCGCUUGAGAGAACCAUGUUGAAGGAACUCGGCAAAAUGGCCCCGUAACUUCGGAAGAAGGGGUGCUCUCCUGUCGAAGGAUUGGGAAAGCGGCACGUACCGGGGGUAGCGACUGUUUAUUAAAAACACAGGACUCCGCUAAGUGGUAACACGAUGUAUAGAGUCUGACACCUGCCCGGUGCUGGAAGGUAAAAAGGAGAAGUGUUAUAAGCUUUGAAUGGAAGCCCCGGUAAACGGCGGCAGUAACUCUAACUGUCCUAAGGUAGCGAAAUUCCCUGUCGCAUAAGUAGCGACCUGCAUGAAUGGUGUAACGACUGCCCCGCUGUCUCCAACAUGGACUCAGUGAAAUUGAAUUCUCCGUGAAGAUGCGGAGUACUAACGGCUAGACGGUAAGACCCCGUGCACCUUUACUAUACUUUUGCAGUGACAUCCUUGAUUUAAUGUGUAGGAUAGAUGGGAGGUGAUGGCACGCAAUGUCGCCACCAAUCUUGAAAUACCACUCUCUCGUCGUUGGAUGCCUAACCGCCGCUGCUGUCAGAAGCGGGAUAUUGCAAGGUGGGUAGUUUAUCUGGGGCGGGUGCCUCCCAAAGAGUAACGGAGGUGUGCGAAGGUAGGCUCAAGCUAAUAUUCUGACAGCUUGUGAGCGUAAUGGUAUAAGCCUGCCUGACUGUAAGACUUACUGGUCGGACAGAGACGAAGGUCGGCCAUAGUGAUCCGGGAGUCCCGUGUGGAAGGGCUCUCGCUCAACGGAUCAAAGGUACGCCGGGGAUAACAGGCUGAUGACUCCCAAGAGCUCUUAUCGACGGAGUCGUUUGGCACCUCGAUGUCGACUCAUCACAUCCUGGGGUUGAAUAAGGUCCCAAGGGUUCGGUUGUUCGCCGAUGAAAGUGGUACGUGAGUUGGGUUUA